Molecule: ribosomal RNA, 253 nt
Filed under: uncultured bacterium
Lineage: Bacteria
Description: partial 16S ribosomal RNA
Rfam family: Bacterial small subunit ribosomal RNA
Source: RNAcentral
UACGGAGGGUGCAAGCGUUAUCCGGAAUCACUGGGUUUAAAGGGUGCGCAGGCGGCAUGUUAAGUCAGAGGUGAAAGAUCGGAGCUCAACUCCGAAACUGCCUUUGAUACUGGCAAGCUUGAAUUAGGUUGAGGUUAGCGGAAUGUGACAUGUAGCGGUGAAAUGCUUAGAUAUGUCAUAGAACACCAAUUGCGAAGGCAGCUAACUAGGCCUACAUUGACGCUCAGGCACGAAAGCGUGGGGAGCAAACAGG